AUGGUUGGCUGGUGGUGCAUGCCUCCCCUCUACAUACUACUCGGGCUUCUCCUCUUGCACACUGCUCCUUGGUGCUCCUCUGCAGCUGCCACUGAAGACACUCUCACGGCAGGCCAAGCGCUCGGCGUUGGUGACAAGCUCGUCUCAAGAAACGGCAAGUUCGCCCUUGGCUUCUUCCAGCCAGCAGCAAGCAGCAUCAGUAAGUCGUCCCGCAAUGCCACCUCCCCCAGCUCCAGCUGGUACCUUGGCAUAUGGUUCAAUAAGAUCCCCGUUUUCACUACCGUGUGGGUUGCUAAUAGAGAGGAGCCCAUCACCCACCCCAAUCUCAACCUGACACAGCUCAAGAUCUCAAGCGAUGACAAUCUUGUCAUCAUAAACCAUGCCGCCAAAACUGAAUCCAUUGUUUGGUCCACUCACAUUGUCAAUAGGAAAACUAGUAGCAUAAACACCACCGCCUCUAUAGCCGUUGUUCUCUUGAACAGUGGUAACCUUGCCCUACUCGCAAAUAGCCAAGACAUGUUGUGGCAGAGCUUUGACUACCCAACAGAUGUUGCGCUUCCUGGUGCCAAGUUAGGCCGGAACAAGGUCCCCGGUUUCAUUCGUCAGUACAUAUCAAAGAAAAGCCUCAUUGAUCUGGGUCUAGGGUCAUACAGCAUUGAACUAGACAGCACCGGGAUCGUCCUCAAGCAUCGCAACCCCUCGGUAGUGUACUGGCAUUGGGCAUCCUCCAGAACAUCAUCGUUGAAUCUUGUGCAAUUAAUCAAGACCACGUUAGAUUUGGAUCCCCGGACAAAAGGUUUGAUUAACCCAGCAUAUGUUGACAACGACCAAGAGGAGUACUACAUGUACACUUCGCCGGAUGAAUCAUCGUCUUCUGUGUUUGUCUCACUAGACAUCUCUGGUCAGAUAAAGGUGAAUGUUUGGUCACAAGCCAGCCAGUCUUGGCAAAGCAUAUAUUCCGAGCCUGCCGAUCCCUGCACUCCGCCUGCUACUUGCGGACCUUUCACGGUCUGCAACGGCAUUGCACAUCCAUCAUGUGACUGUAUGGAGAGCUUCUCCCAGAAGUCACCGCAGGAUUUGGAGUUUGAGGAUCGAACAGGAGGAUGCAUCAGAAACACACCGUUACAUUGCAGCACUAGUGGUAACAACAAAAACAUGACAAAUUCAACAGACAUAUUCCACCCCAUUGCUCAAGUUGCACUGCCCUACAACCCGCAAAUUGUAGAUGUUGCUACUAAAAGUAAAUGUGAAGAAGCAUGUCUUGGUUCCUGCUCCUGCACUGCCUAUUCCUAUAGCAAUAGCAGAUGCUCUGUCUGGCAUGGGGAAUUGUUUAGUGUAAAUCUUAAUGAUGGCAUUGAUAAUAAUUCUGAAGAUGUUCUUUAUCUUCGCCUUGCUGCCAAAGAUUUGCUACCAGGUUCCAGAAAAAACGAAAGAAAACCAAAGGCAGGAGUUGUUACCAUUGUAAGUAUUAUUGGUUUUGGGUUAAUAAUGGUCAUGCUGUUGUUACUGAUUUGGAGGUACAAAUUCAAGUGGUGUGGUUUGCCUAUAUACGACAAUCCAGGUAGUGCUGGUGGAAUCAUAGCCUUCAGAUACACUCACUUGGUUCGUGCUACUAAAAGCUUCUCAGAAAAGCUUGGAGGAGGUGGUUUUGGUUCUGUAUACAAGGGGGUGUUAAGUGACUCAAUGACUACUAUAGCAGUGAAAAGGCUCGAUGGUGCCCGUCAAGGAGAGAAGCAAUUCAGGGCCGAGGUGAGCUCAAUUGGACUGAUCCAACACAUAAACCUAGUCAAAUUGAUUGGUUUCUGCUGCGAAGGUGAUCACAGAUUACUUGUGUAUGAACACAUGUUAAAUGGGUCUCUUGAUAGUCAUCUAUUUAAGAAGAGCAAUGCAAAUGUUGUUGUCCUGAAUUGGAACAUCAGAUGUCAGAUAUCCCUAGGAGUUGCUAGAGGAUUGUGCUACUUGCAUCAGGGUUGUCGUGAGUGCAUCAUACACUGCGAUAUUAAGCCAGAGAACAUACUUCUGGAUGCAUCAUUUGUUCCUAAAGUUGCAGACUUUGGGUUGGCAGCGUUUGUGGGAAGGGAUUUCAGCCGAAUUCUGACUUCAUUCAGAGGAACUGUGGGUUAUCUUGCCCCAGAGUGGCUUACUGGAGUGGCGAUCACACCGAAAGUCGAUGUUUACGGAUUCGGCAUGGUGCUAUUGGAAAUCAUAUCAGGAAGGAGGAAUUCCUCACCUGAAACAUCGUACAACACCAGCAGCAGCAACAGUAACCAGAAUAUUGAAUACUUCCCUGUGCAAGCCAUAAGCAAGCUUCACAGUGGAGAUUUGAAGAGUUUGGUGGAUCCACGGUUACAUGGUGACUUCAACUUGGAAGAGGCUGAAAGGAUUUGCAAAGUUGCAUGUUGGUGCAUCCAAGAUAAUGAGUUGGAUCGGCCGACCAUGGGUGAAGUAGUCCGGGUUCUCGAGGGUCUACAGGAGAUUGAUGUGCCCCCAAUGCCAAGACUGCUUGCAGCUAUAACGGAAUAA
Molecule: ribosomal RNA, 2523 nt
Filed under: Triticum aestivum (bread wheat)
Lineage: Eukaryota; Viridiplantae; Streptophyta; Magnoliopsida; Poales; Poaceae
Description: partial small subunit ribosomal RNA
Source: RNAcentral